Molecule: ribosomal RNA, 1233 nt
Filed under: metagenome
Description: bacterial LSU rRNA
Rfam family: Bacterial large subunit ribosomal RNA
Source: RNAcentral
AACUAGGCAAAAUGGCACCGUAACUUCGGGAGAAGGUGCGCCCUUUGGUGUGGUCACGUGCGUGACUGAGCAUCGAAGGGUCGCAGUAACCUGGCCGCUGCGACUGUUUAUCAAAAACACAGCACUCUGCAAACACGAAAGUGGACGUAUAGGGUGUGACGCCUGCCCGGUGCUGGAAGGUUAAUUGAUGGGGUCAGCCGCAAGGCGAAGCUCUUGAUCGAAGCCCCAGUAAACGGCGGCCGUAACAAUAACGGUCCUAAGGUAGCGAAAUUCCUUGUCGGGUAAGUUCCGACCUGCACGAAUGGCGUAACGACAGCGGCGCUGUCUCCACCCGAGACUCAGUGAAAUUGAAAUCGCUGUGAAGAUGCAGCGUUCCCGCGGCAAGACGGAAAGACCCCGUGAACCUUUACUAUAGCUUUACAUUGAACGUUGAGUUCUUCUGUGUAGGAUAGGUGGGAGGCUAUGAAACCGAGACGCUAGUUUCGGUGGAGCCAUCCUUGAAAUACCACCCUGAAGUGCUUGACGUUCUAACCUAGGUCCGUAAUCCGGAUCGGGGACCAUGUAUGGUGGGUAGUUUGACUGGGGCGGUCUCCUCCCAAAGAGUAACGGAGGAGCACGAAGGUACGCUCAGCGCGGUCGGACAUCGCGCACUGUGUGCAAAGGCAUAAGCGUGCUUGACUGCGAGAUCGACGGAUCAAGCAGGUACGAAAGUAGGUCUUAGUGAUCCGGUGGUUCUGUAUGGAAGGGCCAUCGCUCAACGGAUAAAAGGUACUCCGGGGAUAACAGGCUGAUACCGCCCAAGAGUUCAUAUCGACGGCGGUGUUUGGCACCUCGAUGUCGGCUCAUCACAUCCUGGGGCUGUAGCCGGUCCCAAGGGUAUGGCUGUUCGCCAUUUAAAGUGGUACGCGAGCUGGGUUCAGAACGUCGUGAGACAGUUCGGUCCCUAUCUGUCGUGGGCGUUGGAGAUUUGAGGGGGGCUGCUCCUAGUACGAGAGGACCGGAGUGGACGUUCCGCUGGUGUUCGGGUUGUCAUGCCCAUGGCAUUGCCCGGUAGCUACGAACGGAAGUGAUAACCGCUGAAAGCAUCUAAGCGGGAAGCACGCCCCAAGAUGAGAUCUCCCGAGAGCUAGACUCUCCUUAAGGCACCAUCAAGACUAGGUGGUUGAUAGGCGCGGUGUGGAAGUGCAGCAAUGCAUUGAGCUUACGCGUACUAAUGAGCCGUGAGGCUUGACC